This 119-nucleotide ribosomal RNA is filed under the name Pteropus alecto (black flying fox). The record is from RNAcentral. Lineage: Eukaryota; Metazoa; Chordata; Mammalia; Chiroptera; Pteropodidae.
GUCUACAGCCAUGCCACCCUGAACAAGCCCAAUCCCAUCUGACCUCAGAAGCUAAGCAGGGUCGAGUCUGGUUAGUGCUUGGAUGGGAGACCACCUAGGAAGACCAGGUGCUGUAGGUA